Molecule: unclassified non-coding RNA, 25 nt
Filed under: Mus musculus (house mouse)
Lineage: Eukaryota; Metazoa; Chordata; Mammalia; Rodentia; Muridae
Description: oocyte_clustered_small_RNA13100
Source: RNAcentral
UGGGGGAAUGGCUGGGAUGCAUUGC